AGUGAACGCUGGCGGUAGGCCUAACACAUGCAAGUCGAGCGGCAGCACAGUAAGAGCUUGCUCUUACGGGUGGCGAGUGGCGGACGGGUGAGGAAUACAUCGGAAUCUACUUUUUCGUGGGGGAUAACGUAGGGAAACUUACGCUAAUACCGCAUACGACCUACGGGUGAAAGCAGGGGAUCUUCGGACCUUGCGCGAUUGAAUGAGCCGAUGUCGGAUUAGCUAGUUGGCGGGGUAAAGGCCCACCAAGGCGACGAUCCGUAUCUGGUCUGAGAGGAUGAUCAGCCACACUGGAACUGAGACACGGUCCAGACUCCUACGGGAGGCAGCAGUGGGGAAUAUUGGACAAUGGGCGCAAGCCUGAUCCAGCCAUACCGCGUGGGUGAAGAAGGCCUUCGGGUUGUAAAGCCCUUUUGUUGGGAAAGAAAAGCAGCAGGUUAAUACCCCGCUGUUCUGACGGUACCCAAAGAAUAAGCACCGGCUAACUUCGUG
Molecule: ribosomal RNA, 492 nt
Filed under: uncultured bacterium
Lineage: Bacteria
Description: partial 16S ribosomal RNA
Rfam family: Bacterial small subunit ribosomal RNA
Source: RNAcentral